RNAcentral lists this ribosomal RNA (2153 nucleotides) under Triticum aestivum (bread wheat). RNAcentral's name for it is "partial small subunit ribosomal RNA". The record is from RNAcentral. Lineage: Eukaryota; Viridiplantae; Streptophyta; Magnoliopsida; Poales; Poaceae.
GUGCGUUUCGAGGUGUCGGCCACGGCGGUACGACGAGGUGGUGGAGGAGGGGGGGAGGAGGUCCCGGGGCAGGGCGGGGAGAGGCGCCGCCGGCUCGCAUCCACAGCGACGACGCAAGUGCCAGGCCACGCGCAGGAGGAGCCGGGUCAGCGACGGCCGCAGCAGCAGUAGCAACCGGCCCGUCGUCCACCGCUUACACGUGUCGAUGCCCUGCCACCUGAAGCUCGCCGCGGGCCGCGACGCCACCUCGUCGGACAUGGCCGCGCACCGCUACCCGGUGCCGCCGGCCGGGCACCCCGCCUGCGACCGCCUGACCCUGCUCCCGCUCGCGGCGGAGCUGUUCACCCUCGAGACGGCGUAGCGGUCCCUCGAGGCGUUCAAGGCGGCCAAGUUGGAGCGCGAGCUCCAAAUACUAACCUACUGACUAGCUUCCCUAUCUAAAAGCGAAAGUAGAUCACUAUACCGCUAGGUCAAUCUAGACUAACGUUUUCAUGCACCACAAGGUCUACGACUUCUUAUGAAACUUUUUGAAGGACUGGGUGACUUUCUGUUCGCUUGUAUACCCAGAGAAGAGUUACAAAUACGGGUUCGAUCCUACUUUCUCUUUUGUCUUAUGUGUAAACUCGUCUACUCCUUUUUCCGCAAACGUUGACUGUGUAAUGGAAAAUUACACAACUACUUAAAAAUGCACCUACAACGUCUCGGACUCUUUCACAGAUGUCAAUGACUACUCUACUUCGUUUCUUUAUAGCGGAAACUACAGACGUGAAUGUUGUAAACCUAUUUCACGACACGUCGAUACUUUCUGCGACUACGUUACCUUGCUCAGAAAUUGGUCUACUAACGACUACUCAGGCAACAACGGUUGACCUGAUGAAUAUGGUGUGAACGAUCGUACGUAUAGUUCGACCUCUUGAAACUCUUCCGUCUUCUUACGGACUUUCUUCGACUCUUCGCUCGUUGUCCAUCCCUAUUUUUUACAAAGGUAAAAGAGUAGUGUGAGAUAUCGGUAGAAGUCUUCUUUCUUCUUCAGAUGGCGUAAACCUUAACCAUGUUUCGUUGAAAGUUCUGUUAAGUAUUGGACCCAAUGGUCCUCCAUGACAGACGGGAACAAUCCGAUCCUCUAUAUCUCCCUCGACUUGAAGAUAUACUUCUUACCCGUAGGUUUUCAAGAUCAAAGCUAGGCUUCUGAUACUUGUAAAAUAAUCGUACCAUAAGAUCUCUUCCAAAACAACACUUCCGACUCGUUUGAGACUUGUCUAAACAACUCUUUCCACCCUUGGGGUUUGGUUUAUGGACCCUUUAGGAACGGUGCCGCAUAGACUUCCUGUUAGUCAAACGACUUAGAGACAGUACAAACCUCUUUCGGUGACGUCAAUUUUCACGAUCAUUUACCUCUGGUUCUGGUUGGUUACAACUCUCAGAGGACCGUAUAAAGUUCCUCUUCUUGCUGUGCCUCUCACAGCUGUCCAAUUACUCAAAUGAGUCUUCAUCUCCCACACGACUCUUGCUUCUCAUGUUCAGUAACAAACUGUGGAUACGAAACCGCCAACGCCCGUGCACUACUACCUGCCUGUGGUUGCUAUGCUAUACUAAUCAUUUAUCGGGAACUUGUGAAGAACAUUAGACUUACAACCUUCUUGGGGACGAACUCUCAAGUACACUAUAACUUCGGUACUGUCAACGCCUACUUGUCCGGUCUGGUGGGCCUCGGGGGGGGAACGGCCAUCUACUGGAUAAAGGAACUCUUUUCGUCAAUAGACUAGCACCUAAAGAACAUUAUUAUUAUUAUUAUACACGCCCCAGUGACCUCCCCGACGUCGACGUCCUUCCACCCACCAACGUAGGUCCUACGUCGUGCGUGCGUGACUGAUUUGAUUACCGGUCUAAGCGAGUGUCGAUCCACUGCCCGUUUCUCACUCGAGUUUUCCGCCUUUUAAUUUCCUCAGGUCGGUGUCGGUAACGAGCGAAAUGAGUUUGCAGUGGCUGACAAACAGUAGAGGCUUUCUCCAGAGCCAAGUCGAACGUUCGACCUCAUGUCAAUAAUGACACUAGGGCAGUACCUGUUGCACUAAUUCUGUUGGACAUUCUAUAUGAUUCUUAUUAGUACCGGCAAACUGGGAGAUAUUCGUCUGCACUAGCCGUGAGGGUAG